GACUAUAUAGUUCAGUGGUAGAACAUCAGCUCUGCAUGCAGAAGAUCUCAGGUUAAAUUCCCAGCAUCUGCA
Podarcis lilfordi (Lilford's wall lizard) is the source of this 72-nucleotide non-coding RNA. Lineage: Eukaryota; Metazoa; Chordata; Lepidosauria; Squamata; Lacertidae. The record is from the annotation of a GenBank genome assembly.